GACGAACGCUGGCGGCGUGCUUAACACAUGCAAGUCGAACGGAAAGGCCCUGCUUUUGUGGGGUGCUCGAGUGGCGAACGGGUGAGUAACACGUGAGUAACCUGCCCUUGACUUUGGGAUAACUUCAGGAAACUGGGGCUAAUACCGGAUAGGAGCUCCUGCUGCAUGGUGGGGGUUGGAAAGUUUCGGCGGUUGGGGAUGGACUCGCGGCUAUCAGCUUGUUGGUGGGGUAGUGGCUUACCAAGGCUUUGACGGGUAGCCGGCCUGAGAGGGUGACCGGCCACAUUGGGACUACGAGACGGCGCAGACUCCUACGGGAGGCAGCAGUGGAGAAUAUUGCACAAUGGGCGGAAGCCUGAUGCAGCAACGCCGCGUGCGUGAUGACGGCCUUCGGGUUGUAAACCGCUUUCGCCUGUGACGAAGCGUGAGUGACGGUAAUGGGUAAAGAAGCACCGGCUAACUACGUG
This 467-nucleotide ribosomal RNA is filed under the name uncultured bacterium. RNAcentral describes it as "partial 16S ribosomal RNA". It matches the Rfam family "Bacterial small subunit ribosomal RNA", at positions 28 to 507 of the family's 1533-position model. The record is from RNAcentral.